RNAcentral lists this long non-coding RNA (277 nucleotides) under Lathyrus oleraceus (garden pea). RNAcentral describes it as "Pisum sativum (pea) long non-coding RNA (PSAT_LNC037103)". Lineage: Eukaryota; Viridiplantae; Streptophyta; Magnoliopsida; Fabales; Fabaceae. The record is from RNAcentral.
UGAUAUGAAGUGAUGGGUAUUUGUGAAGGUUUUUCAUGGGAUGGAAAAUAAAUUUGAUAUGAAAUAAUCUGUUGAGGAUAGUUUAUGGUAUUAUGUGGGGAGGACAUGGGUCAACUGUAUGAUGGUUAUGUCAUGUAUGAUAUGAAAUGUAUGUUAUGGUGUGUAACAUAAGUAUCUCUUCAAAUUGAAAACAAAGAUAAAAGCCUCAUGACAAAAGGUCAAGAAGAAAGAUGAGAGGGAAUAUGACUUCGUUGGGGAUAAGUUUCUUAUGUAAAAG